RNAcentral lists this ribosomal RNA (433 nucleotides) under uncultured bacterium. RNAcentral's name for it is "bacterial SSU rRNA". It matches the Rfam family "Bacterial small subunit ribosomal RNA", at positions 32 to 507 of the family's 1533-position model. The record is from RNAcentral.
GAACGACGCUGGCGGCAUGCCUAACACGAUGCAAGUCGAACGAGACCUUCGGGUCUAGUGGCGCACGGGUGCGUAACGCGUGGGAAUCUGCCCUUGGUUCGGAAUAACAGCGAGAAAUUGCUGCUAAUACCGGAUAAUGACGUAAGUCCAAAGAUUUAUCGCCAAGGGAUGAGCCCGCGUAGGAUUAGCUAGUUGGUGUGGUAAAGGCGCACCAAGGCGACGAUCCUUAGCUGGUCUGAGAGGAUGAUCAGCCACACUGGGACUGAGACACGGCCCAGACUCCUACGGGAGGCAGCAGUGGGGAAUAUUGGACAAUGGGCGAAAGCCUGAUCCAGCAAUGCCGCGUGAGUGAUGAAGGCCUUAGGGUUGUAAAGCUCUUUUACCCGGGAUGAUAAUGACAGUACCGGGAGAAUAAGCUCCGGCUAACUCCGUG